GAGAUGCGGGGGUGCCCGAAAGGGAACCUGGACACAGGUGCUGCAUGGCUGUCGUCAGCUCGUGUCGUGAGAUGUUGGGUUAAGUCCCGCAACGAGCGCAACCCUUGCCAUUAGUUGCUACAUUCAGUUGGGCACUCUAAUGGGACUGCCGGUGACAAACCGGAGGAAGGUGGGGAUGACGUCAAGUCCUCAUGGCCCUUAUGGGUAGGGCUUCACACGUAAUACAAUGGCGGCAUACAGAGGGCUGCAAACCCGCGAGGGGGAGCCAAUCCCAAAAAGUGCGUCGUAGUCCGGAUUGUUCUCUGCAACUCGAGAGCAUGAAGUCGGAAUCGCUAGUAAUCGCGGAUCAACAUGUCGCGGUGAAUACGUUCCCGGGUCUUGUACACACCGACAGA
RNAcentral lists this ribosomal RNA (395 nucleotides) under uncultured Pseudomonadota bacterium. RNAcentral's name for it is "bacterial SSU rRNA". It matches the Rfam family "Bacterial small subunit ribosomal RNA", at positions 1003 to 1397 of the family's 1533-position model. Lineage: Bacteria; Pseudomonadati; Pseudomonadota. The record is from RNAcentral.